UAGCGCCUACGGGGAGUAGCAGUCGGGAAUAUUGCGCAAUGGAGGAAACUCUGACGCAGUGACGCCGCAUGCAGGAAGAAGGUUUUCGGAUUGUAAACUGCUUUAGACAGGGAAGAAAAUGACGGUACCUGAGUAAGAAGCCCCGGCUAACUACGUGCCAGCAGCCGCGGUAAUACGUAGGGGGCAAGCGUUAUCCGGAUUUACUGGGUGUAAAGGGAGCGUAGACGGCGAUACAAGUCUGAAGUGAAAGCCCGGGGCUCAACCCCGGGACUGCUUUGGAAACUGUGUUGCUGGAGUGCUGGAGA
Molecule: ribosomal RNA, 305 nt
Filed under: uncultured bacterium
Lineage: Bacteria
Description: bacterial SSU rRNA
Rfam family: Bacterial small subunit ribosomal RNA
Source: RNAcentral